RNAcentral lists this small RNA (127 nucleotides) under Salix viminalis (osier). The record is from RNAcentral. Lineage: Eukaryota; Viridiplantae; Streptophyta; Magnoliopsida; Malpighiales; Salicaceae.
UGCAACGGAUAUUCCGUUGCAAAAGAAAAUUACUUUGCAACGGAUUUGCCGUUGCAAAUUAAAUUUGCAACGGAAAUUCCGUUGCAAUUUAAAAUCAUUUGCAACGGAUUAUCCGUUGCAAAAAAAU